UGAGUAACGCGUAGAUAACCUGUCCAAGCGACUGGGAUAGCCCUUCGAAAGGGGGAUUAAUACCGGAUACGUCGGUUUUUCAUAAGAAUAAUCGAGAAAGGUGGCCUCUAUUUAUAAGCUAUCGCACAUGGAGGGGUCUGCGUACCAUUAGCUAGUUGGUGGGGUAAAAGCCUACCAAGGCAUCGAUGGUUAGCGGGUCUGAGAGGAUGAUCCGCCACACUGGCACUGAAACACGGGCCAGACUCCUACGGGAGGCAGCAGUGAGGAAUAUUGCGCAAUGGGGGAAACCCUGACGCAGUGACGCCGCGUGAGUGAAGAAGGUCUUCGGGUCGUAAAGCUCUGUCAGGUGGGAAGAAAUGCUUUAUGGUUAAUACCCAUAGAGUUUGACGGUACCACCAAAGGAAGCACCGGCUAAAUCCGUGCCAGCAGCCGCGGUAAUACGGAUGGUGCGAGCGUUGUUCGGAAUCACUGGGCGUAAAGGGCGCGUAGGCGGCCAAGCAAGUCAGAUGUGAAAGCCCACGGCUCAACCGUGGAAGUGCAUUUGAAACUGCUUGGCUUGAGUAUCAGAGGGGAAAGUGGAAUUCCCGGUGUAGAGGUGAAAUUCGUAGAUAUCGGGAGGAAUACCGGUGGCGAAGGCGACUUUCUGGCUGAAUACUGACGCUGAGGCGCGAAAGCGUGGGGAGCAAACAGGAUUAGAUACCCUGGUAGUCCACGCCGUAAACGAUGUCAACUAGGUGCAGGGGGGUUGAUCCCCUCUGUGUCGCAGCUAACGCAUUAAGUUGACCGCCUGGGGAGUACGGUCGCAAGAUUAAAACUCAAAGGAAUUGACGGGGGCCCGCACAAGCGGUGGAGUAUGUGGUUUAAUUCGAAUGCAACGCGAAGAACCUUACCUGGUCUUGACAUCCCGAAAAAGCCCUAGAAAUAGGGAAGUGCUCUCUUUGAGAGAAUUUGGUGACAGGUGCUGCAUGGCUGUCGUCAGCUCGUGUCGUGAGAUGUUGGGUUAAGUCCCGCAACGAGCGCAACCCUCGCCAUUAGUUGCCAUCAUUAAGUUGGGCACUCUAAUGGGACUGCCGGUGUCAAACCGGAGGAAGGUGGGGAUGACGUCAAGUCCUCAUGGCCUUUAUGACCAGGGCUACACACGUACUACAAUGGCCGACACAAAGGGCAGCCACAGAGCGAUCUGGAGCGAAUCCCGUAAAGUCGGUCUCAGUCCGGAUUGGAGUCUGCAACUCGACUCCAUGAAGUUGGAAUCGCUAGUAAUCGUGGAUCAGCAUGCCACGGUGAAUACGUUCCCGGGCCUUGUACACACCGCCCGUCACACCACGGGAGUUGGUUGUACCAGAAGCGGUUGAGCUAACCUUCGGGAGGCAGGG
Molecule: ribosomal RNA, 1373 nt
Filed under: uncultured prokaryote
Description: partial 16S ribosomal RNA
Rfam family: Bacterial small subunit ribosomal RNA
Source: RNAcentral